This 72-nucleotide transfer RNA is filed under the name Methanobacteriota archaeon. RNAcentral's name for it is "Euryarchaeota archaeon tRNA-Gly". It matches the Rfam family "tRNA". From Rfam's summary of the family: Transfer RNA (tRNA) molecules are approximately 80 nucleotides in length. Their secondary structure includes four short double-helical elements and three loops (D, anti-codon, and T loops). The record is from RNAcentral. Lineage: Archaea; Methanobacteriati; Methanobacteriota.
GCGGCCGUGGUCUAGCGGUUAUGACGGUAGGUUCCCAACCUAUCAACCCGGGUUCAAGUCCCGGCGGCCGCA